RNAcentral lists this ribosomal RNA (253 nucleotides) under uncultured bacterium. RNAcentral describes it as "partial 16S ribosomal RNA". It matches the Rfam family "Bacterial small subunit ribosomal RNA", at positions 524 to 776 of the family's 1533-position model. The record is from RNAcentral.
UACGUAGGGAGCAAGCGUUGUCCGGAAUCAUUGGGCGUAAAGCGCGCGUAGGCGGCCCUGUAAGUCCGUUGUGAAAGUCAAAGGCUCAACCUUUGAAAGCCGAUGGAUACUGCAGGGCUGGAGUCCGGAAGAGGCGAGUGGAAUUCCUGGUGUAGCGGUGGAAUGCGCAGAUAUCAGGAGGAACACCAAUAGCGAAGGCAGCUCGCUGGGACGGUACUGACGCUAAGGCGCGAAAGCGUGGGGAGCAAACAGG